AGUGAAGCGGCAAGAGCUCAAAUUUGAAAUCUGGCCCCCUCGGGGUCCGAGUUGUAAUUUGCAGAGGAUGCUUCGGGUGCGGUCCCCAUCUAAGUGCCCUGGAACGGGCCGUCAUAGAGGGUGAGAAUCCCGUCUGGGAUGGGCGGCCGCGCCCGUGUGAAGCUCCUUCGACGAGUCGAGUUGUUUGGGAAUGCAGCUCUAAGCGGGUGGUAAAUUUCAUCUAAAGCUAAAUACUGGCCGGAGACCGAUAGCGCACAAGUAGAGUGAUCGAAAGAUGAAAAGCACUUUGAAAAGAGAGUUAAACAGCACGUGAAAUUGUUGAAAGGGAAGCGUUGUCCACCAGACUCGCCCGGGGGGGUUCAGCCGGCACGUGUGCCGGUGUACUCCUCUCCGGGCGGGCCAGCAUCGGUUUGGGCGGCUGGUGAAAGGCCCCGGGAAUGUACCACCCUCCGGGGUGUCUUAUAGCCCGGGGUGCCAUACAGCCAGCCUGGACCGAGGCCCGCGCUUCG
This 509-nucleotide ribosomal RNA is filed under the name Talaromyces amestolkiae. Its description in RNAcentral is "partial large subunit ribosomal RNA". It matches the Rfam family "Eukaryotic large subunit ribosomal RNA", at positions 92 to 604 of the family's 3401-position model. Lineage: Eukaryota; Fungi; Ascomycota; Eurotiomycetes; Eurotiales; Trichocomaceae. The record is from RNAcentral.